CCUACGGGUGGCAGCAGUGAGGAAUAUUGGUCAAUGGACGAGAGUCUGAACCAGCCAAGUAGCGUGAAGGAUGACUGCCCUAUGGGUUGUAAACUUCUUUUAUAUGGGAAUAAAACGUUCCACGUGUGGGAUUUUGUAUGUACCAUAUGAAUAAGGAUCGGCUAACUCCGUGCCAGCAGCCGCGGUAAUACGGAGGAUCCGAGCGUUGUCCGGAUUUAUUGGGUUUAAAGGGAGCGUAGGUGGAUUGUUAAGUCAGUUGUGAAAGUUUGCGGCUCAACCGUAAAAUUGCAGUUGAAACUGGCAGUCUUGAGUACAGUAGAGGUGGGCGGAAUUCGUGGUGUAGCGGUGAAAUGCUUAGAUAUUACGAAGAACUCCGAUGGCGAAGGCAGUUCACUGGACUGUAACUGACACUGAGGCUCGAAAGUGUGGGUAUCAAACAGGAUUAGAUACCCUGGUAGUC
Molecule: ribosomal RNA, 460 nt
Filed under: uncultured bacterium
Lineage: Bacteria
Description: partial 16S ribosomal RNA
Rfam family: Bacterial small subunit ribosomal RNA
Source: RNAcentral